This 29-nucleotide non-coding RNA is filed under the name Rattus norvegicus (Norway rat). Lineage: Eukaryota; Metazoa; Chordata; Mammalia; Rodentia; Muridae. The record is from RNAcentral.
UGUGGCCUAUAUAUACAAUGUAAUGUUUA